UCGGGAAUCUUGCACAAUGGGCGAAAGCCUGAUGCAGCAACACCGUGUGAGCGAUGAAGGUCUUCGGAUCGUAAAGCUCUGUUGUUAGGGACGAAGGGCGAAGGGUUAAUAGCCCUUAGCCUGACGGUACCUUUCGAGGAAGCCCCGGCUAACUACGUGCCAGCAGCCGCGGUAAUACGUAGGGGGCGAGCGUUGUCCGGAAUUAUUGGGCGUAAAGGGCGCGUAGGCGGCCUGGUAAGUCUGCUGUGAAACCUUGGGGCUCAACCCCAAGCGUGCAGUGGAUACUGUCAGGCUAGAGGAUGGUAGAGGCCAGUGGAAUUCCCAGUGUAGCGGUGAAAUGCGCAGAUAUCGGGAGGAACACCAGUAGCGAAGGCGGCUCGCUGGGCCAUUCCUGACGCUGAGACGCGAAAGCGUGGGGAGCAAACAGGAUUAGAUACCCCCGUAGUCC
Molecule: ribosomal RNA, 448 nt
Filed under: uncultured prokaryote
Description: bacterial SSU rRNA
Rfam family: Bacterial small subunit ribosomal RNA
Source: RNAcentral